RNAcentral lists this ribosomal RNA (767 nucleotides) under uncultured Bacillus sp. RNAcentral's name for it is "bacterial SSU rRNA". It matches the Rfam family "Bacterial small subunit ribosomal RNA", at positions 28 to 776 of the family's 1533-position model. Lineage: Bacteria; Bacillati; Bacillota; Bacilli; Caryophanales; Bacillaceae. The record is from RNAcentral.
GACGAACGCUGGCGGCGUGCCUAAUACAUGCAAGUCGAGCGGACCGACGGGAGCUUGCUCCCUUAGGUCAGCGGCGGACGGGUGAGUAACACGUGGGUAACCUGCCUGUAAGACUGGGAUAACUCCGGGAAACCGGGGCUAAUACCGGAUGCUUGAUUGAACCGCAUGGUUCAAUCAUAAAAGGUGGCUUUCAGCUACCACUUACAGAUGGACCCGCGGCGCAUUAGCUAGUUGGUGAGGUAACGGCUCACCAAGGCGACGAUGCGUAGCCGACCUGAGAGGGUGAUCGGCCACACUGGGACUGAGACACGGCCCAGACUCCUACGGGAGGCAGCAGUAGGGAAUCUUCCGCAAUGGACGAAAGUCUGACGGAGCAACGCCGCGUGAGUGAUGAAGGUUUUCGGAUCGUAAAACUCUGUUGUUAGGGAAGAACAAGUACCGUUCGAAUAGGGCGGCACCUUGACGGUACCUAACCAGAAAGCCACGGCUAACUACGUGCCAGCAGCCGCGGUAAUACGUAGGUGGCAAGCGUUGUCCGGAAUUAUUGGGCGUAAAGCGCGCGCAGGCGGUUUCUUAAGUCUGAUGUGAAAGCCCCCGGCUCAACCGGGGAGGGUCAUUGGAAACUGGGGAACUUGAGUGCAGAAGAGGAGAGUGGAAUUCCACGUGUAGCGGUGAAAUGCGUAGAGAUGUGGAGGAACACCAGUGGCGAAGGCGACUCUCUGGUCCGUAACUGACGCUGAGGCGCGAAAGCGUGGGGAGCGAACAGG